Neodiprion virginianus is the source of this 498-nucleotide long non-coding RNA. RefSeq lists it as uncharacterized. The transcript is spliced from 3 exons. Lineage: Eukaryota; Metazoa; Arthropoda; Insecta; Hymenoptera; Diprionidae. The record is from RefSeq and is a predicted model, not a curated record.
GGUAUAACACGAGGUGGUUAGCGGUCGUCGUUGGAGGUGGUUUGAGGUGGUUAUGGGAUGGUUGCGGGUGAUCGAGGAUUCCAAGUAUUUGACAACAGUGAUACCUUAUCACAUGGACAAUGGCCCACCUCAUAAUCAAGCUUUACAAGUCCUCACUAGGAUAUUAAAGGCUAUUAAUCAGGAUAGUCCAACGGUGCCCACAUUAUUAACGGACUACAUAUUGAAAGGUGGGUUGAUUUCUUUCACCUUGUCUUGAAUCCGUGCGAGAUAAACACUUGUAUAUUUCACGGUCCAGUUAUUAUCAUGAGGUUGAAGUUCGUAAUGUUAUUCAAGCGAUGAAUUUUUAGAAAAACUUGGAAUACAACUUCAGGAUUGUCUGAAAAUAAGUAAACCGUAAUAAACCAAAUAGUAAUCAUAUCAAGUUAUCAGUAAUAAGCAAUUGCGGGUAAAUUAUUAGCUUACUUUUGUGAAUAUUUAUGAAUAUAGUCUCUAUGAAUG